UAGGGAAUCUUCCACAAUGGACGCAAGUCUGAUGGAGCAACGCCGCGUGAGUGAAGAAGGUUUUCGGACCGUAAAGCUCUGUUGUUGGUGAAGAAGGAUAGAGGUAGUAACUGGCCUUUAUUUGACGGUAAUCAACCAGAAAGUCACGGCUAGCUACGUGCCAGCAGCCGCGGUAAUACGUAGGUGGCAAGCGUUGUCCGGAUUUAUUGGGCGUAAAGCGAGCGCAGGCGGAAGAAUAAGUCUGAUGUGAAAGCCCUCGGCUUAACCGAGGAAUUGCAUCGGAAACUGUUUUCUUGAGUGCAGAAGAGGAGAGUAGAACUCCAUGUGUAGCGGUGGAAUGCGUAGAUAUAUGGAAGAAUACCAGUGGCGAAGGCGGCUCUCUGGUCUGCAACUGACGCUGAGGCUCGAAAGCAUGGGUAGCGAACAGGAUUAGAUACCCUGGUAGUCCAUGCCGUAAACGAUGAGUGCUAAGUGUUGGGAGGCUUCCGCCUCUCAGUGCUGCAGCUAACGCAUUAAGCACUCCGCCUGGGGGAGUACGACCGCAAGGUUGAAAC
This 554-nucleotide ribosomal RNA is filed under the name uncultured bacterium. RNAcentral describes it as "partial 16S ribosomal RNA". It matches the Rfam family "Bacterial small subunit ribosomal RNA", at positions 355 to 900 of the family's 1533-position model. The record is from RNAcentral.